ACGGGGGAUGCAAGCGUUAUCCGGAUUUAUUGGGUUUAAAGGGUGCGUAGGCGGUUUGAUAAGUCAGCGGUGAAAUAUUUCAGCUUAACUGAAAGGGUGCCGUUGAUACUGUCAGGCUUGAAUAUGGUUGCUGUGGGUGGAAUGUGUGGUGUAGCGGUGAAAUGCUUAUAUAUCACGCAGAAUAUCGAUUGCGAAGGCAGCACACAAGGCUAUUAUUGACGCUGAUGCACGAAAGUGUGUGGUUCGUACAG
Molecule: ribosomal RNA, 251 nt
Filed under: uncultured prokaryote
Description: partial 16S rRNA
Rfam family: Bacterial small subunit ribosomal RNA
Source: RNAcentral